This 211-nucleotide long non-coding RNA is filed under the name Monodelphis domestica (gray short-tailed opossum). RNAcentral describes it as "lncRNA (ENSMODG00000044484.1)". Lineage: Eukaryota; Metazoa; Chordata; Mammalia; Didelphimorphia; Didelphidae. The record is from RNAcentral.
GAGCUGAAAACUCUGGAUAUUGGCUAUAAUUGGUCUGUGGUGUUUUCAUUUUGGAGUUUCUUUCAGGAGGCUCCAGAGAAAACUGCUUUGGAAACAAUCACAAUCAUCAGAAAAAGAUACAAGCCCAUGGGCCUAGAUAAUUACAGAGAAGACCAGAUUUCAGGCAACCAGAGCACAAGGAAUAGAGCGGAUGGGGUCACUUGGCUUUGAA